Molecule: non-coding RNA, 381 nt
Organism: Biomphalaria pfeifferi
Lineage: Eukaryota; Metazoa; Mollusca; Gastropoda; Planorbidae
Source: the annotation of a GenBank genome assembly
AUUUUUUAAAAUACUUUUAUUUACUCUCAAAUAAAAUCACAACUGAUGUUCUGAAAGUUAAAACAGUAGUUGCUGCUGAGCCACACAGAUCUAUGUAUAUUCACACUGUACUACGCACAUUACACUCUGCAGCAAACUUGCUGAACAAAAGAGAAGUAACAGGACCAAAAACAAAAGUGAUCACUUGAACACAUCACAGCUCACUCAGAUCAUACGCUCUAUAUAUUAUGCUUACAUAUCAGAAGUGGUCAAUUUGAAUGGAAUGUUCAAAGGGUACAAGUGGGUUUGUAAGGAGGAAAUAAAGUGAUGCCCCUAUUCUCAACUUUAGAUCCCUUGAUAUUGUCUAAAUAGAAAGUAACAAAGAAGCUAAAAAAAAAAUAA